UGGCACCCAAUGCGGGGCCCGGAUACGAGGGAUACCGUGAGGAAGAAGGCGCAAAGGAGGCCGGCGAGUAAAAGUGAGAGAAAAUUCCUUCGGCCACCGCAGGAGCCUGCUGCGCUGAGGCUGAAGGUGAGUAAAAGAGCCUGAAAAUGGGACAAGAAUUAAGCCACCAUCAGAUUUAUGUGAGACAAUUGAAAGAGGCUUUAAAGGCACGAGGAGUAAAGGUGAAUAGUGAGGAUUUAUUCAAAUUUUUUGGCUUUAUAAAAGAUAUGUGUCGUU
This is a non-coding RNA of Echinops telfairi (small Madagascar hedgehog), 276 nucleotides long. NCBI's taxonomy places the organism in Eukaryota, Metazoa, Chordata, Mammalia, Afrosoricida, Tenrecidae. The record is from Rfam.